UGUGUGUGUGUGUGUGUGUGUGUGUGUGUGUGUGUGUGUGUGUGCGCGCGCGCACGCUCAGGGACUUACUCCAGAGAUCACUCCUAG
This 87-nucleotide microRNA precursor is filed under the name Sorex araneus (European shrew). RNAcentral describes it as "miRNA (ENSSARG00000017275.1)". The record is from RNAcentral. Lineage: Eukaryota; Metazoa; Chordata; Mammalia; Eulipotyphla; Soricidae.